GGAAUCUUGCGCAAUGGGCGAAAGCCUGACGCAGCAACGCCGCGUGGGGGAUGAAGGCCUUCGGGUUGUAAACCCCUUUCAGGAGGGAAGAAAAUGACGGUACCUCCAGAAGAAGCCCCGGCCAACUACGUGCCAGCAGCCGCGGUAAUACGUAGGGGGCGAGCGUUGUCCGGAAUUAUUGGGCGUAAAGAGCUCGUAGGCGGCUCAGCAAGUCGGCUGUGAAAUCCCGAGGCUCAACCUCGGAACUGCAGUCGAUACUGCUGUGGCUAGAGUCUGGUAGAGGAGAGUGGAAUUCCCGGUGUAGCGGUGAAAUGCGCAGAUAUCGGGAGGAACACCAGUAGCGAAGGCGGCUCUCUGGGCCAGUACUGACGCUGAGGAGCGAAAGCGUGGGGAGCAAACAG
This 401-nucleotide ribosomal RNA is filed under the name uncultured bacterium. RNAcentral's name for it is "bacterial SSU rRNA". It matches the Rfam family "Bacterial small subunit ribosomal RNA", at positions 358 to 775 of the family's 1533-position model. The record is from RNAcentral.